RNAcentral lists this ribosomal RNA (253 nucleotides) under uncultured bacterium. RNAcentral's name for it is "partial 16S ribosomal RNA". It matches the Rfam family "Bacterial small subunit ribosomal RNA", at positions 524 to 776 of the family's 1533-position model. The record is from RNAcentral.
UACGUAGGGUCCGAGCGUUGUCCGGAAUUACUGGGCGUAAAGAGCUCGUAGGUGGUUUGUCGCGUUGUUCGUGAAAACUCACAGCUCAACUGUGGGCGUGCGGGCGAUACGGGCAGACUGGAGUACUGCAGGGGAGACUGGAAUUCCUGGUGUAGCGGUGGAAUGCGCAGAUAUCAGGAGGAACACCGGUGGCGAAGGCGGCCUGCUGGGCAGUUGCUGACGCUGAAUCACGACAGCGUGGGGAGCAAACAGG